Drosophila montana is the source of this 1344-nucleotide long non-coding RNA. RefSeq lists it as uncharacterized. The record is from RefSeq and is a predicted model, not a curated record. The transcript has 2 exons. Lineage: Eukaryota; Metazoa; Arthropoda; Insecta; Diptera; Drosophilidae.
UUGCCACAGCUCUCCACAGUUGGGAUUUGAAAAUAUCUGAAUAUCCAGUUUUUAUUUUUUUAUUUGUCUGCUCUCGUCUCAAGUGUUUUCGCUACUGUGACGAGUGGGGCUAAAAGCGAAUUGCCUGACUGUGCGUGUACAUGUGUGCGUGCGUGUGUGUGUGUGUAUGUGUGCUCUAAUGAGAUGGGACUCGUUUUUAGCUGUGUCCAGAGCCAACCCCGGCAGACCCCAGACGGCUGCUUCUUCUGCUGCUGCUGUUGCGCGGCUUUUAUUUUUUUAAUUACGAAAAUUGGAUUUUUAUGUACGACGGCAACAGAGUCCGAGACGAAGACACUUGACAUGCAUGUGGAGCUGGCAAUGAGGAUAAUAUUCCCCCCCAAACCCUUCUCCACAGACCGACAUCCAGAGUAUCCGGGGUGAGAGUGAGAUUGGACAUAGACUGGACGGGCAUCUGUGUCGGGCAUGGUUUAUUUUUACACUUGAUUUUUAUCUCUUACCAUGUUUUGGGGUCGUUGCUUAAUUGAGUUAACAACUGCAGGUAAGAGUGGCAAUUGCCUUAAGCCCCUACCCCGCCCCACCCCCUCGCUGCAUUCCCUGCACGCCUCCGCUGUACUAUUGCUAAUGAAAUUAGGUUAAAGUGGCAGUAAAUGGGCAACAAACCAGCUGCCGUUUCAUGGGCAGCAGCCAACUUCCGUGGCCUUCGGCCCUAGCUUAGCAUCCCCCGCCAAGCAGCUGCAAAUUGAGCGAUUUUAUGCAGCUACUUUCCAAAUGCAUUAACAGCAAAAUUAUAUGUACGAGUGGGAGCUCAGGUAUUACUGCAAUUCGGAGCCUGGCAUUUGGGAGGAGUAUGUGUGGCAAUGUGGCAGCGCCUGGGUGAAAGCUGCUGGCAGAGACUGUAAAGACUCACUGUAGAGACUGGCUGCUUGCAAAAACAAAAUGUGGGCCGGGUUCUGUAAUGAGCUGUGGAAAUGGCAGCGCAUACAAAUGGAGCGAUGGGGUACGUUGUGCACACUUUGACUAAAAUAAUAAUCAUCUAUCAAGCGUAAGUCCAGUAAAAUAAAUUCCGAAGUCUUUCGCUUUUUAGCCAGCUGUCAAAGAUGUUGGAAUAACUGCAAAGCCUGACUCCUGGCCGGAUUCAAACUUUUGCAGCUUCCGCCCAAAGGCCAAUUGCCAAAGUUUUUGGGCCCUUUUGGAGCACAUACGCACCUUUUGCGUAUUCCCCAGUUGGAAAGUCAGAGCAAAGGGUCAAAACUGUUACCAUAAAUACGCAAAUAAUUCGCUGGUGAAUGUCGCACUUUCAGCUGUUGUUUCUUAAUAAAACUUUUGGUUACCUGCUCGGUAGAA